GAAUCUUCCGCAAUGGGCGAAAGCCUGACGGAGCAACGCCGCGUGAGUGAUGAAGGUCUUCGGAUCGUAAAACUCUGUUAUUAGGGAAGAACAUACGUGUAAGUAACUAUGCACGUCUUGACGGUACCUAAUCAGAAAGCCACGGCUAACUACGUGCCAGCAGCCGCGGUAAUACGUAGGUGGCAAGCGUUAUCCGGAAUUAUUGGGCGUAAAGCGCGCGUAGGCGGUUUUUUAAGUCUGAUGUGAAAGCCCACGGCUCAACCGUGGAGGGUCAUUGGAAACUGGAAAACUUGAGUGCAGAAGAGGAAAGUGGAAUUCCAUGUGUAGCGGUGAAAUGCGCAGAGAUAUGGAGGAACACCAGUGGCGAAGGCGACUUUCUGGUCUGUAACUGACGCUGAUGUGCGAAAGCGUGGGGAUCAAA
RNAcentral lists this ribosomal RNA (421 nucleotides) under uncultured bacterium. Its description in RNAcentral is "bacterial SSU rRNA". It matches the Rfam family "Bacterial small subunit ribosomal RNA", at positions 359 to 772 of the family's 1533-position model. The record is from RNAcentral.